This is a long non-coding RNA of Spodoptera frugiperda (fall armyworm), 2321 nucleotides long. RefSeq lists it as uncharacterized. Lineage: Eukaryota; Metazoa; Arthropoda; Insecta; Lepidoptera; Noctuidae. The record is from RefSeq and is a predicted model, not a curated record. The transcript is spliced from 2 exons.
UUGACAUUGACAUUAAUUUAUUGAUUGUUUUGUUUAGAUGAAAGGGGAAAUGGAUACCGCGUUUCGCGAAAUUCGUUAAGUAGAAAUAAAAAAGUAAAUAAUAUACUGUGAAAUCCCCACAAAAUAAGAACGAUACUAAAGAAGUGAUAGAUAAAUCAGGACGAUAAGAAAUAACACAAAACACUGAUCUUAUAAGAAUAAUGAAGCAGCGGUUUUACUGCAGCUCCUUGUUAGCAGAUCAUUGAAGGAUUAGUGCACACAAGGAUUCUUUACAGACAAAGCCUUUUGCUGGACAAGACAUAAGUACUUAUAGCCAAGUUAUUGGUGAAGACAUCAAUUACAAGAAUAACUUCAGUGUUGAAUAAAACAAUUGCCUAUCUCCGGUAAUUCCAAAAUCAAAAUUAAUUUGCUUGCAUUGUGUUUCAAGACAAACUCUUUUGAUUCUCAUUAGAAGAGUAUCUACCAAAAUGUAUAGGGCUCGUCAGGAGGAUUCACUGUCUUUCACAAUAACUGAUUGCAUCAUAUGUAUAUCUGGCCCGAUCAUUUGCUUUAUUCUUUUUCUAUACAUACUAAAUAUGUUGAUCCGAUGGGGACAAAGAAUCAUACCUGAAAGGCUUGCCUAAGUAUUUUAAUUUACAAAAGAAGUCAGGUUUUAAUUAUUGAGUUAUUGGCUUACUCAUGUAACUGUUUACGAGACGAGGAACUUGACUAGUUUCAAACCAUGCUAGAGGCCCAUCUCUCGCAUGACUUGUAAACUUGUGUUCCCCGUCAAACAGUUACCUGAGUAAGCUGAUAACUUAAUAUUUAAUUAUAGUAUAGUCAGUCAAAACCUGAGUUUUGAACUGCAUCUUUUUAGUGAUACUUUCUAUAAUUAAGGUUUUAUAUCUGUGACUUCUAUAAAUGGAAAUCUUGGUAUACCGCUCCUUGUAGCCAAAAACUUCGCCUACAGUAUAGGAAAUAUUAUCUUAGAAAGUAAGACUACAUAUUAAACACUUCUUAUCAUACUGUCUAAAGUUGACUUUGAUAGAACAACUUCAAAAACAUGAGAAUGUACGUCUUACAAAUCUUUUUAAAAUAAAUAAAGUAGAAGCAGGCGUUACUUGGGGAAAUCCAUUUUACACUAACAAGUGGAACAAAUAUUUUGUUUUAUUCUGCUGUAGGAAUGUAUUUUAGCAUGAAUCUUUUUAGUAUUGUAUCUAGUUUAUAAGUUUACACUUUUAUUUUGUAUCUUACUGCGAAGAAAAGACUUUAAUAUUAAUUUUUAAGCUUUAUUCUGAUCUCAUGUUGUGGAUGUUCUUUUUGUGAUACAUAUUAAAAAAAUAUAGUAUAUAACUAUAUUUUUAAGGGGGGAUAAGUCAUCAAAUUACCCUACUUGGGCGAGGCGAGAGGGAGUGUUAGACUCUUACUGAUUAAGAACCACCCCGUUCCUACUCUCGUUCAUCAAGCUGGAGCCCCAGUAACCCGCUAGUAAUUUUGAUACUCUGAUUUAAUACUUACAGUAGAUUUAUGUAGACAGUCUCUAACAGUUUACUAUUCCAUAAUACAGAUAGGCAGGAUAAUGUAAUUAAUUUAGAAUCAAUAUAAUCAGUGUAAAAACUAGCCAAUGUAUUAAUAAUUGGCUAGCAAAUGAGUCAACAAUUUAAAGGCAGUGUUUCAAUAUUUUUUUGGUUUUUUGGACAAGUGUAGCAAGUUAAAGUGUUUAUAGAUACAUGAGGCGUCAGGAAUUUGUGACCAGCUCCCUGAUCACCGGUUUACUGCAUAGAUAGGGACCACAACGGGUAGGGGUUAAUAUCAAAGAGUUAGCUAUCGGAGAGGCCAACCAACCUAUGCAGGUAAACAAAAACAGGUCAAGAAAUAUGUCCAGAUCUUUAAGAGGCAUUUAUUUUUAAAAUGAAUUCAUCUAGUGCCAAUAAGUAAGCUAUAAACCUAAGACUAAAUGAAAGUAGGUAUCGUCUGAAAGUUGUGAUAUUAUUGAGUAGGGAAACGGAAUGUGAUGAAAGCCAAAGAUUAGUAGUAAGGGUUGUGGUUCUGCUUACCACUAUGACAUAAGAGCAUGAAUGUAUUUGAAUGAAAUUGAGUGGUAUAAUAGCACAAUUGUUGUUAAGCUGAAGGAUAAAUAUUAUAAUGAAUGUUUUUCUACUGCGAUUUGUAAUCAAUUUUCUUAUAGAUCUCAAAUGAAUGUUUUCUAGUCUUUUAGAUGAUAUUAUUAUGUACGCAUUUAAUGUAAUCUUUUGUAUCCAUUUGUAGACUUAUUACAUUGUAUCAGGUACUUUUAUAAUCUAAUAAAAAAACUAAUAAGUUAAAAAAAUAAUAAAAGGAAA